This 566-nucleotide ribosomal RNA is filed under the name uncultured bacterium. RNAcentral describes it as "partial 16S ribosomal RNA". It matches the Rfam family "Bacterial small subunit ribosomal RNA", at positions 355 to 913 of the family's 1533-position model. The record is from RNAcentral.
UGGGGAAUAUUGCACAAUGGGCGCAAGCCUGAUGCAGCCAUGCCGCGUGUGUGAAGAAGGCCUUCGGGUUGUAAAGCACUUUUGUCCGGAAAGAAAUGGCUCUGGUUAAUACCUGGGGUCGAUGACGGUACCGGAAGAAUAAGGACCGGCUAACUACGUGCCAGCAGCCGCGGUAAUACGUAGGGUCCAAGCGUUAAUCGGAAUUACUGGGCGUAAAGCGUGCGCAGGCGGUUGUGCAAGACCGAUGUGAAAUCCCCGAGCUUAACUUGGGAAUUGCAUUGGUGACUGCACGGCUAGAGUGUGUCAGAGGGGGGUAGAAUUCCACGUGUAGCAGUGAAAUGCGUAGAGAUGUGGAGGAAUACCGAUGGCGAAGGCAGCCCCCUGGGAUAACACUGACGCUCAUGCACGAAAGCGUGGGGAGCAAACAGGAUUAGAUACCCUGGUAGUCCACGCCCUAAACGAUGUCAACUAGUUGUUGGGGAUUCAUUUCCUUAGUAACGUAGCUAACGCGUGAAAGUUGACCGCCUGGGGAGUACGGUCGCAAGAUUAAAACUCAAAGGAAUUGA